GUGGGGAAUAUUGGACAAUGGGCGCAAGCCUGAUCCAGCCAUGCCGCGUGAGUGAUGAAGGCCCUAGGGUUGUAAAGCUCUUUCACCGGUGAAGAUAAUGACGGUAACCGGAGAAGAAGCCCCGGCUAACUUCGUGCCAGCAGCCGCGGUAAUACGAAGGGGGCUAGCGUUGUUCGGAAUUACUGGGCGUAAAGCGCACGUAGGCGGACAUUUAAGUCAGGGGUGAAAUCCCGGGGCUCAACCCCGGAACUGCCUUUGAUACUGGGUGUCUGGAGUAUGGAAGAGGUAAGUGGAAUUCCGAGUGUAGAGGUGAAAUUCGUAGAUAUUCGGAGGAACACCAGUGGCGAAGGCGGCUUACUGGUCCAUUACUGACGCUGAGGUGCGAAAGCGUGGGGAGCAAACAGGAUUAGAAACCCGUGUAGUCC
This 425-nucleotide ribosomal RNA is filed under the name uncultured bacterium. RNAcentral describes it as "bacterial SSU rRNA". It matches the Rfam family "Bacterial small subunit ribosomal RNA", at positions 354 to 796 of the family's 1533-position model. The record is from RNAcentral.